CAAGUCGAGCGGACCGGACGGGGGCUUGCUUUGGUUUGGUCAGCGGCGGACGGGUGAGUAACACGUGGGCAACCUGCCCGCAAGACCGGGAUAACUCCGGGAAACCGGAGCUAAUACCGGAUAACACCGAAGACCGCAUGGUCUUCGGUUGAAAGGCGGCCUUUGGGCUGUCACUUGCGGAUGGGCCCGCGGCGCAUUAGCUAGUUGGUGAGGUAACGGCUCACCAAGGCGACGAUGCGUAGCCGGCCUGAGAGGGUGACCGGCCACACUGGGACUGAGACACGGCCCAGACUCCUACGGGAGGCAGCAGUAGGGAAUCUUCCGCAAUGGGCGAAAGCCUGACGGAGCGACGCCGCGUGAGCGAAGAAGGCCUUCGGGUCGUAAAGCUCUGUUGUGAGGGACGAAGGAGCGCCGUUUGAAGAAGGCGGCGCGGUGACGGUACCUCACGAGAAAGCCCCGGCUAACUACGUGCCAGCAGCCGCGGUAAUACGUAGGGGGCGAGCGUUGUCCGGAAUUAUUGGGCGUAAAGCGCGCGCAGGCGGUCUCUUAAGUCUGAUGUGAAAGCCCACGGCUCAACCGUGGAGGGUCAUUGGAAACUGGGGGACUUGAGGGCAGGAGAGGAGAGCGGAAUUCCACGUGUAGCGGUGAAAUGCGUAGAGAUGUGGAGGAACACCAGUGGCGAAGGCGGCUCUCUGGCCUGCACCUGACGCUGAGGCGCGAAAGCGUGGGGAGCAAACAGGAUUAGAUACCCUGGUAGUCCACGCCGUAAACGAUGAGUGCUAAGUGUUAGAGGGGUCACACCCUUUAGUUGCUGCAGCUAACGCGAUAAGCAUUCCGCCCGGGGAGUACGGCCGCAAGGCUGAAACUCAAAGGAAUUGACGGGGGCCCGCACAAGCGGUGGAGCAUGUGGUUUAAUUCGAAGCAACGCGAAGAACCUUACCAGGUCUUGACAUCCCCUGACAACCCAAGAGAUUGGGCGUUCCCCCUUCGGGGGGACAGGGUGACAGGUGGCGCAUGGUUGACGUCAGCUCGUGUCGUGAGAUGUUGGGUUAAGUCCCGCAACGAGCGCAACCCUCGCCUCCAGUUGCCAGCAUUCGGUUGGGCACUCUAGAGGGACUGCCGGCGACAAAUCAGAAGAAGGUGGGGAUGACCUAAAAUCAUCUUGCCCCUUAUGACCUGUGCUACACGCGAGCAACAAUGGGCGGUACAUUGUGGGUGCGAACCCGCGAGGGGGAGAAAAUCCCAAAUAGACGCUCGCAGUUCAAAUCGCAAGCUGGAACGCGUCUGCAAGAUUUCUGAAUAUUAACCAUAGCGCAUCCACAUGGCGCGGUCCAUAUGUUAUCGGGUAGUGUUCGCACCGCCCGUCGAAACACCAGAGAGUGAGCGCACGAGUUGCUGAAGAACAAACAGGUGUAGCCCCCCCUCUAACGUAGCACUCUCUGAUUGUGGGGAGGUACACCACGGUAAUCAUGCUCCUCUUGCUCCCCAC
This 1489-nucleotide ribosomal RNA is filed under the name Geobacillus stearothermophilus. RNAcentral's name for it is "bacterial SSU rRNA". It matches the Rfam family "Bacterial small subunit ribosomal RNA". Lineage: Bacteria; Bacillati; Bacillota; Bacilli; Caryophanales; Anoxybacillaceae. The record is from RNAcentral.